UACGGAAGGCAGCAGUGGGGAAUAUUGCACAAUGGGCGAAAGCCUGAUGCAGCUAUGCCGCGUGUAUGAAGAAGGCCUUAGGGUUGUAAAGUACUUUCAUCGGGGAGGAAAAACAAAACUAAUAAUUUUAUUUCUUGACGUUACCCGAAAAAGAAGCACCGGCUAACUCCGUGCCAGCAGCCGCGGUAAUACGGAGAGGGCUAGCGUUAUUCGGAAUUAUUGGGCGUAAAGAGCGCGUAGGCUGAUUAGUAAGUUAAAAGUGAAAUCCCAAAGCUUAACUUUGGAAUUGCUUUUUAAAACUGCUAGUCUAGAGAUUGAAAGAGGAUAGAGGAAUUCCUAGUGUAGAGGUGAAAUUCGUAAAUAUUAGGAGGAACACCAGUGGCGAAGGCGUCUAUCUGGUUCAAAUCUGACGCUGAGGGCGCGAAGGCGUGGGGAGCAAACAGGGAUUAGAUACCCGU
Molecule: ribosomal RNA, 458 nt
Filed under: uncultured bacterium
Lineage: Bacteria
Description: bacterial SSU rRNA
Rfam family: Bacterial small subunit ribosomal RNA
Source: RNAcentral